Molecule: long non-coding RNA, 720 nt
Organism: Artibeus jamaicensis (Jamaican fruit-eating bat)
Lineage: Eukaryota; Metazoa; Chordata; Mammalia; Chiroptera; Phyllostomidae
Exons: 3
Source: RefSeq, a predicted model, not a curated record
CAUGCCUGGGCUGGGCUGUUUGAACAGCUUUGGGGAAAAGCAAUAAGGCAAGGCAUCUGGGCAGCCAGCUCCCUCCUUGAAGUCUGGAUGGGAGGAAAGCGUAAGGCACCAGAUUUUCAAAACAACAUCCUCUGCAGGAGUCCCGCAUUUUUCUUUAAAUGAAUGCUUAUGAAAAUGAGACCAGAAAAUGAGGGCAAGGAAAUGGUCAAGAGAAGAGGUUGAAAAGCAAAUGCCAUGCGGCGGUGGAUUUCCUGUUGUCAUAGAGCGACUUCUCCCCAGAGACCAGGUCAGUGGAGAACAGAAGAGGCCUUAGAGGUCUCACAGUGUCUUCUGAUGUAAGAAGGCCUCCCUCAGAACCCCACUGGUGUCCAAAUGGCUGGGACAGGACACUAUUCCUCACUGAUGACCUUGCUCCUGAAACCGACAGCAGAUAGUGUGGCCAUUGGCUGAUCUUCCACUGAAUUUCCCAAGAGUUGCUUCAGAUAUGAGCAGCCACAAAUCAUACUCUAUCUGAAAAGGCAAAAGCCUAGAACUGCUCCAUAAGACAUAAACAGUGUUAAUGAUCGUCUACAAAACCAAAAGGAAUUUCCUGCAGUACUUUCAAAACACAAAACUAGUGGCUACUCAGAAACACUUUUCGUUGUUUUGUGCAUUUUAAACAACUCUGGUUAGGUGUAAUAUGACUGCUUCAGUUCACAUUUUUGAUACUAUAAAUAUCAU